UACGUAGGGUGCGAGCGUUGUCCGGAAUUAUUGGGCGUAAAGAGCUUGUAGGCGGUUUGUCGCGUCUGCCGUGAAAAUCCGGGGCUCAACCCCGGACUUGCGGUGGGUACGGGCAGACUAGAGUGUGGUAGGGGAGACUGGAAUUCCUGGUGUAGCGGUGAAAUGCGCAGAUAUCAGGAGGAACACCGGUGGCGAAGGCGGGUCUCUGGGCCGAUACUGACGCUGAGGAGUGAAAGCGUGGGGAGCGAACAGG
This 253-nucleotide ribosomal RNA is filed under the name uncultured bacterium. RNAcentral describes it as "partial 16S ribosomal RNA". It matches the Rfam family "Bacterial small subunit ribosomal RNA", at positions 524 to 776 of the family's 1533-position model. The record is from RNAcentral.